This 275-nucleotide long non-coding RNA is filed under the name Homo sapiens (human). RNAcentral's name for it is "non-protein coding TRAF3IP2-AS1:50". Lineage: Eukaryota; Metazoa; Chordata; Mammalia; Primates; Hominidae. The record is from RNAcentral.
ACACUUGCCUCGCCGACCGCCAUUUCACAUCCAGCAGAGGAGGCGGGGGCAGCCGCUGAGACGGUUUUUCACAAGGCUUUCUCCAUAUUUACGUGCUUGUAACUCUGGCAUGACCUUUGCUCCAGUCUCUACCAGAGGGCGGUGCCUGGAUUGAAGUGGAAAAGCCCUGUUUUCCAGCCAUGACCCAGGGAGCAAGCACUGACUCCUCAGGGGAACAGGAGACCUGCCAACUAGGACCCUGGGAGCCCCCAUGCUGGCAGUGCCCUGGGUCAUCU